ACUUCCAGGUUAGAGCAGCAGGGCGCAGGAGUGCAGUUCAUCAAAACCUCUGUAUUGUUGCUGAUGCGUAAACUGCCUGGCAUGGGAUACCAUGGAGUAACAAAGGCAAAUGCUUCAAAAACUGCCUCCCCUGCCUCCAUCAAUAUUUGCUGAGUAGACCUGCAUUCAGAAGGGUGUUUGUGAGAAGCAAACAUGAUAGUUUGAAAACCCUGAGUUGUUUUCUUUUCUACCCAGAAGAAUGAACACUGAGAGAUACAGAAGAUGUGAUGGACAGUUUUGACAAUAACCCCCACAUCAAAUGCGCCAGAAGACUGAAGCAGAGGCAACAUUCCUGUCCAAGGACCCUUCAGCUACAAAGGAAACCCUCCAGCUCUCUUCCUUGGAAGACUUUCUGCUUCUUCAUCACUGAAUAGAGGGAACGGGUAUUAUAUGAAGAUAAAGUUAUUGCUUGUGCCUGCCUGGAGCACAAGAUCGAAGCCUUGAAACUUCCCAACAUGUCCUAUGGGAGUCUGGAGGUUGGACCUUUCCUAGAUCAGUGUAAAUACUUUAAGUACUAUCUGACUGUGCUCUAACAGGAGUUGGAAUAGAUUGGAAGCUGCACUGGUCUUAAAAGCCAGUGCUCAUAAAUACUUGGAGAGCUCAGGCUGUGGGUUCAUCCCUAGAAUGUGAGACAAGAAUUAAGCUUAUUUAGCAAUUUUGAAUUCUAUCACAGUCCUAAUUUUAGGAAAAGACACACUGUGCUGUAUCUGUUUCAUUACAUGUGUUGAAUUUGAAUUUGUAAGCCUUUAUCUUCUGUUUGUCUUGAAUUACAGAAGUAUAUAGUGCAAUGACUUCAAGAGACAGACCCACUAAAUGUAUAGUUUGUUGGAAUUAUAUCUACUUUUUUUCUUUAUUUAGGAAAUUUAGAUUAAUUUAAAUGAUUGUUUCUUCUGUAAUCUCACAGAUAGGAGAAUGACAAGAGCUCUUAUUCAGGCCAUUCAUACUAGAACAAUUCUGUAACUCUCAUGUUUUGUUUUGCUUUGUUUUGUUUUGUUUUCUUUAUCUUGGUAAAGCAGAUGCCACAAAGAAAUACUAGGGAUCCAUUAUUUAUUUUCAUUUUUUAUUUUUUAAAAGUAAAAUAGUGCAACACUUACAAAUGGAAGUUUUACAUGAAUGAUGGUUCAGUCAAGCAGUAAUACGUCACUGAGAUGUAACUAUGCAGAGUUCUUUUGGACACUCUGUUCAGUUUCUGAUCUGAGCAGCUUUUGGGUAUGCAUUCAUGACAGUUCAGCAUAUUGUUUAAUGUGAUUUUUAUAUACAUUUGCAAUUUUAGAAAAUAUUACUAUACUUCUGUUCUUGCUUUUCUCCAUUGCUGCGAAAAGAAUCAUGGUUAAAUUGUGUUCUCCUGGCUCCUCUUGGCCUUGUGGAAGACAGUAAGUGUUUUAUGGCAAACCUUCAGAGCCCUGUCUGAGGAAGCUCUGUGCAAUCAGAAUCCUUUGUCUAUAAUCCCUGUUUCUUUCCAGUCAAUGAAAAUGACAAAAAUAAUGUUUGAAAACCAGCGUAGCUAUCCAUGACUCCUAAACUUGUUAAAAUGUUUUGUUCAUCCUGAAAUAUCCUAAGCAUGACAUAAAAGAGAAAAUCCCAGGCUAAUGCCCUGACAUGUGAUGUGUCUGCUUAUCCUGGCUGUCUCGUACACUAGAGCUUUUCUGGAUGAAGCUAGCUGUGAUGACUCUCCAUUAAGGCAAAACUUCAGGCAGAGUGCUCCCACUCUCCUUCCUUCUGAAUUUGAUAACAGUUUUUCCUCUUUUGUUUGUCUGUUUAGGUGAUAAUCAUAGGAAGCCAUGUGAUAGCCUGUGACACCACAGCUGUUUGCAGUUUCAGUUCUUGUAGUUAUGCACAUCCCCUGAGACUUUGGUGAGGGAGUAUUUUGCAGCCAGAAAGACCGAAAGACCGGAGUUUGCCAAAUAUGUUUUCUUUUUCUUUUUUUUUUUUUCUCAGUAUCUUUUCACAAGUUCUUUUUACUUUUAGAGAUAGGGAGAAGAGUGGAGAAAUCUUUUUUUUUUUUUUUUUUUUUUUUUUUUAGAUAACGUUGCAUAAAGCAUAAAAUGCUUCACAUGCACAGAAUAAAGGAAAAAAAUCUCAAUUUCUAUUUCAA
Molecule: long non-coding RNA, 2134 nt
Organism: Coturnix japonica (Japanese quail)
Lineage: Eukaryota; Metazoa; Chordata; Aves; Galliformes; Phasianidae
Source: RefSeq, a predicted model, not a curated record